Molecule: RNA transcript, 1953 nt
Organism: Lycium ferocissimum
Lineage: Eukaryota; Viridiplantae; Streptophyta; Magnoliopsida; Solanales; Solanaceae
Exons: 2
Source: RefSeq, a predicted model, not a curated record
GUACACAGAGAUAUUAAAAAAAGCGCACAUCUGAAGAAAGAAGCACAAAUAGCAUCACCAUCAUCAGUAGCUCACCUUUAGUUCUCUUAUUAAAAAUUGGCUUUCGGAAAUUGAAUAUCUCCGGUGAUUUUUACCAAUCUUUUUGCGGUUCUGAUUUCUCUAAUCCAUGAAUAUGAUCUAUUUUCAUAAAGUAUGGACACAGAAAUGUUAGGUCCUUUUGCUAUUACCCAUUUCCGAUCCAAAAUAUGGAUUCGCCAACGAAAAAAAUCCUUCCGCUUUCCAUCUAGCUUCAAUUUUCUAUCACCCGUUGUUCUUUCUGUAGUCCUAGUAGGAUAACCCUCGUGACUCGAACCCGCAACUUUAAGAUUAGAGGUGGUAGGUGAAGUGACUCGAACCCGCAACCUUAAGAUUAGAGGUGGUAGGUGAAGGGUGCUUACGCCCUGAGCAAGCCCCUCUUGUCAGUUUCUACUGUAUUUCUGACGUGAAUGAAACUGAGUCUUGGAGCAAAAAAGGAUUGAGAAAUUGAGACCCAGUUUUUUUUCUUCCCCACCCUAGGAGCUCCCACCUUUCUGUUUUCUUGGUGAUUCGAACCCACAACCUUUAGAUUGAAGCUGAAGGGUGCUUACCACUCGAGCAAGCCCCUCUGAUCAAUUUCUACUAUACACUUCUGAACUUGAGUGAGACAGAGUGCAGGAGGAAAAAAGGAUUGAUAAAAUUGAGACCGAAUCGAAAAUGAGUUUAGGUGCAGCGGAGGAGGAAUCGGGUCAGCAAAUUCAGUUACCAGCUGAUAUAGACUGGAAAAUGCUGGACAAAUCCAAGUUUUUCUUCCUCGGCGCCGCCUUAUUUUCCGGUGUUUCAACUGCACUUUAUCCUGUUGUGGUGUUAAAAACUCGCCAACAAGUAGCGCAAGCUCACCUUUCCUGCUUCAAAACUGCCUUCUCCGUCGUUAAUCACGAAGGAAUUCGCGGGUUGUAUCGUGGGUUUGGGACUUCAUUGAUGGGUACAAUCCCUGCUAGGGCACUUUACAUGACUGCACUCGAGGUUACAAAGAGUAACGUCGGUACGGCCACGGUUAGGCUCGGGGUCCCCGAGCCUACUGCUGCGGCCAUAGCCGGCGCUGCAGCUGGGCUGAGCGCAGCCGUGGCCGCACAAUUGGUGUGGACACCAGUCGAUGUGGUGAGCCAGCGGCUCAUGGUGCAAGGGACUCAUGGUUCGUGUAAAUAUGUCAAUGGAAUUGAUGCUUUUCGGAGAAUCCUUCAAACAGAUGGACCUAAAGGACUCUACAGAGGGUUCGGGUUUUCAAUUUUGACAUACGCACCAUCCAAUGCGCUUUGGUGGGCAUCUUAUUCCGUUACUCAACGGCUUGUUUGGAGUGGAUAUGGAUGUUACUUAAGCAAGAAUGGUGAUAACUGUACUUUGAGGCCCGAUUCGAAGACUGUUAUGAUGGUUCAGGGAGUGAGCGCUGCCAUGGCUGGCGGAAUUUCAGCUCUGAUUACAACACCAUUAGACACAAUUAAGACAAGAUUACAAGUCCUGGAUGGCGAUGAAAAUGGUCGAAGAGGAGGGCCAACGGUAGCUCAAACGGUUAGGAAUUUAGUAAGGGAAGGCGGGUGGAUGGCUUGUUACAGAGGAUUAGGUCCUAGAUGGGCUUCAAUGUCAAUGUCUGCAACUACAAUGAUAACUACUUACGAAUUCCUCAAACGCCUCUCCACAAAGAAUCAAGAAAGUUGGGCAUCAUGAACCCAAUAGACAGUAUAAGUUCUCUUUGAUCCAUGUAUAAGUUUUAUUUUUGAAUGAUGAUCUUUUUUGUUUUAGAAUCACUAUGCUGAGUUUAAACAUAAACAAGCCUAGAUCAAGAACAAAAAUAAUGAUGAAUGUAAGUGGUUUCAUUUCACUAGUAUGAAUCUGUAUAUAUUAGUUCAGUUCACUAAGCUUAUUUUGUGUGUUACUGAA